RNAcentral lists this long non-coding RNA (43319 nucleotides) under Malus domestica (apple). Its description in RNAcentral is "long non-coding RNA (MDOM_LNC004443)". The record is from RNAcentral. Lineage: Eukaryota; Viridiplantae; Streptophyta; Magnoliopsida; Rosales; Rosaceae.
GGAAGAGAAAGUUUUGGAGUUUGUAGGAUAGAAAGGUUUGGAGUUUGGGGGAGAAGAAAAUGAGGGGGUUUGGGGAAAAAGAUGAGGAAGAGAUUAAUGAGGAGAAAAGAGUGGAUUUGGAUUUUUUAAGAAUCCUAGUGAACCCUUUGCACAACGAAGUAUUUGUCACCUAAAGUUUGCAUUUACUUGUUGGCUUAAAUGUCUCACUAACCAUUUCAAACACUUUGCACGACGAAGACUAUUGUUCGUCAUGCAAGAACCACACUGCGACGAAGCUUUCCCUCAUGCAAGAAAAGGUUUGUCACACGAUAAAUUGCCGCCAAAUCUUCAUUUUAUUUCAUUUCCCCCCACAUAUUGGGCGACGCAUUAUCCAGUUCAUCGUGCAAAAUCCUCUUGCACGACGAAUAUCUUUGUCGCCUAAAGUUUUCAAUUUUUUUUUUGCCGGGACGAUUGCGCACAACAAUGGCCUUAUUGUAUUGUGCGACGAAAACUACUUCAACACCUAGAGUUUUGUCGCGCAAGUAGUUUUUCUACUAAUGUAGCUUGAAACUUGGGUAUUACACUUGCAUAUUGGACUAGAAUUCGUAUAGCGUAUGUUUACCUCAUGCCCUGUGAGAUAUAGUUAUAUUAUUGACCCUAAUAUUUAACUUAAAUUAUGCCAUCAAUAUGGUACUUGAUAUCUUUACUUUAGCAUGUUUACUGAGAAAAAUAUAUAUGUUAAACAAGAGAACUGCAAGAUCUUUUGUGACUCACGUAGCUAGUAGCAUUUUUAUCAACAUAACCUGUAAUUUAUUGUGAGAUUAUCUCUUAAUUUAACUAAAAGGAAGAUAUUAAUUAAGUAGAUGAAGAAUGAGGAAUUACAGUUUCUUCUCUGGAACCUUCAUGCCAUUCUAGUACCGUUUACUAGUUUGGAUUCAAACGUAUGCGAAUACUAUUUGUGUGUGUAUUGACAGGCUCUUACCCUGCAUGCAAACGAAUCUAUUCUAUAUAUCCAUUUGCAAUUGCUCCACGCAAACUCUAACCUAAACAUAAAGAUAAACCCUAACCUAAAUAUGUAUUGUAUGUACUAUUUGAAUAUUUAUAUUCAAAUCCCUAAUAUAUACAAGAUGAAACCCUAAUUAAAAGAACUCAAAAAUUACUGUGUGUAAUUCAACGUCCAGAAGAUCACAGAUAUACAUAAACAUCGAUCAAAAUAUAUAUCCAUUUAAGUAUUAGAUGAAGAUCAUGUCAAAUAUUAAUUGGAUUGUCGUAAUUACCAGGUUUAAGGUUUUGGUCAACAUCAGCUCCAGACAUAGUGCCACACGGGAUUGAUCAAGUGUUUGAGACCGCCAAGGGGUAGUAGAUCCGUCAAGCACUUGUGUAUAUAUAUCACAAGGUGCUCAAAACUAGCCCCCCUCGGGGGAUAUACCUCUACCUAUAACGUAAUUGUACACCAAAACAAAACACAGAUUAAAAAACUACAAAAAUCAAAACAAUUGUGUCAUUAAUAUGCAUUCAAAUCAUUUAGAAUGAAACUAAGCACGCAUGAAAAUCAUUUAGAAUGAAACUAACAUGAUCGUUACUGAAAGAAAAAAAGGGUAAUUAACCAUGGAGGUUGAAGAUUUUGAGGAUUAAUCUAAAGCAAGAAUUCGAGAAUAUGAGAGAAUUAAUACCGUUUGACAAGAAUGUAGGGGGUUAAGUGGGGCUAACAACUUCAGUGAUGGAGCACUACGUACACCCCCACAUUCAUGGUCAGAGUUCGACUAUCGCCCUUCCCCGCCCUUGUUCCUGCUUUAGACCUUCUUUGUAUCCCCCCCCCGAAAAAAAAAGGGAAAUGUAGAGGGUAAGAGAUCAACGUGGUAGGCAUAUAUAUGAUCCGGAUUAAUCUCUGAAGUUGUACGGCCAGAGAGGAGCAAUGAGGAUAACAUGACUGAUAUAGAAAAGAAAGAGUUAAACAAGAAUGGAGCUUUUUUGUUUCAUUUUUCCAUUGACAUGUGGUCUCUUCUCUGUGCCAUGCAUUUGCAUGCCCGCUUUGGGUUUCUGUUGGCAAAGAAAGAGAGCAUGCGAAAUGCAAGCCACCCCAUUCAAUCUCAUUCUUUAGCUUUCCACGCUAGCUAGUUAACCAACUUUUUACAAAUGGAAACUGCAUCUCCCUAUUUCCACGCAAAAUUACUAUAAAUUCCCUCUAAUUUUAUCAAAAAAAAUGUCAAUUGUGACCAUAUUAACUGACUACGUGACAUGGAAUGUGUUAACUUUUGAUCUGCACUUAGUGCUGUAACUGUUUGACCGUAGGAACCUUUCACCUGCUCUCCCGCUCUCCCAUGAUCCUCAGAAAAAGAAAAGUUUAAUUCUUUGAGUAUCUUGUACCAUAUGCCUGUAAAUCGAUAAAAAUAAAACGCCUUCUUCUUCCUUUCAUGUAAUAAGAAUUUCCAAGAAAAAAAAUCUUCAACUUUAAGUUUUUAAUUUAAUUUCGGCCAUGGACAACAAAGAAACUAAGAGCACUCAUGUUAUAUCGAUCUAAACAGGGCCGGUCCUGAGUUUUUGGGUGCCCAGUGCGAAAACUCAAAAUGUGCCAUUUUUUAAUAUGGAAACAUAUGCUUAAAAAAAAAUAUUUAACAAGAGCUGGAACCUAGUCGAAGCUGGGGGGGCUAGACCCUCAUGUGCAAAUUAUAUUACUUGAGAAAAUAUACAACGGGGGGACAUAAUACCUAAACACCGACAAUAAAAAAUACAAUCAUAUAUAACCACUCCUAGCAAAGCUCCUUGAAAUUUCAACCUUUAAGAAAUUGUCUUCUGGCAUUUUUUGAAGCAAAAUCAUCAAUUAUAUCAUCAUUCUCCAUGUCUUCAAUCUCAUCAUUUUCAAUGUAUAAGAUUGCUAAUCCAUUUAGCCUAUCUUGAGUCAUAGUGGCUAAUAUGGCUUGUCUUCAUGUUCCACCGGCACCAACGAUGAUUGUGUGGCACUCAUCAUCUGCAUAGCUUGUCUUGUUCCAUUUAUUGGUGUGCAGUCCUCCUCCCGUGCCAUUAGAGUAACUAGAUCUAUAGUUGUGAUCAUAACCGGCCAUUAUUCAACCCAAAGUUUUAAACUAUAUGAUUUACUUGGAUCUCUAGGACUUCUUUCACACCUGCAACAUUUGAAGCUUCUUUUUGUUUAUAUAGAAGGUACAAUUAUUUUUACCUUUAUAUCACAUAUGCUUCUCUCUUUCUAAUGCAUUCCAAGAUUCCUUUCAGGUUCUUCUAUUGCGAAAAUAGUUGAAAGAAUCAUAUUCCCACCAAUCCGUGGAUUUCGACCUUCAUCAUCUUCCCUUCCAUUGACUGAAAUAUUUUCUUCCGUUAAGGAAUUGAGUAUUGAGAGAAAAGAAAAGGGAGUUAGGGUGGGACUGGGACGGCAGGAUAGUGGGGGAAAUGGGGAACAAAGGGGGUUAGGGAAUCAGUAAAGGGUGAAUGUAUUUGUUGGAAGUUAGGGUUAAUGGGACCGAGUGGUCCCUGUUAUGAUUUUUUAAUGCCCAAAACUUGGGCCUUUUUUCAUCUUUUGUCAAACUUGGGCUUUGCCCUCCAGCCUCUUAGGCUCUGGUUAUAUUUUUUUUUUUUUUAAUACCUAGUUACUUCGGUUUUUUUUUUUUUUUUUUGUGCUUCUUUCAUUUUUGGGCUUUGGACAGUUGCCCUGGUGGCACUAGGCCUGGGCCAGGCCUGGAUCUGAACUCCAAAAGUUCGGAGCAUGUUAUUCUUCAUAUCAAUUGCUCACGUCAGAGACUGAUUCUAUUGAUAAGUCAGAUGGGUGGAGGGGUGGGAGGGGUGGGAGGGGGAAGGGGUGGAGGGGUAGAGGGGGGACUUUAUGAACCAAAAGAUUCCUAUAAUUUAGAGAAGGAUAAUGCUAGGGAGACCAAAAUUUUAAACCAAAUUGUGUAAACCAAAUUAAUGAUGUAGUUGUUGAUGAUUAGAUUAUUAAUUAAAUGUCGAUUAACAUGUUAUUUCUUAUUAAUGAUACAUAAUUUGUUUUGCAAAUCUAAUUUAAAAAUUUAGUCUCCUAUCAAUAUCCUUUAGAGAAAAUAGUUUUACAGUUACACAAUUUUCCUUGGAUCUCGAGAAGAAUCAAAUACAACAUUACAAUUGAGGGAGGAGAGAGAGGAGGCAACGGGAAAGGCUAAAAACCUACAAACUAGGGUUUAUGCGUAAAACGUAUAAAGAUGUUUAUAGAUGCAUAUUUUAAUUUAAUAUUUGCUGAAGUUUAGAACCACACUACUGUUAGCUCAUUAUGAGACUAAUCACACUUCCUCUCUUUUAGUGUAUAUAAUAUCGUUUGUUAAAACAUAAAAAAUAAAGGGCAAAAGACUGUUUACUACCCUCAUGUUUCGUGGUUUUCAACAUUUAGUACAUCAAUUUUUUUUCAUCCCAGAGUCAUACCUAAAGUGUAAAUUUUGGGACAGUCUCAUACAUCCGUUAGUCAAACUGUUAAGUUUCCAGUUAAGUGAUGAUGUGGCGCCCAUGUGAACAAUAACUGAGCGCCACGUGGGUCCACGUGGAUUUUUUUUUAGGGGUUCAAAAAAACAUUUUCCCGCCAACGUUUUCCCCACAACCAUGUACCUACAUUUUUUCCCGCCAAAAGUUUUUGAAAAAAAAAUCAUCUACUUUUUUUUUUCUUCUUCUUCUUCCUCGAGGGGACGAAUUGGGUUCCUGAUUGUUUUUUUUUUUUCUUCCUCCUCCUCCUCCUCCUCCUUCUUCUUCUGGGUUUUAGGGGUGGGUUUUCUUCUUCUUUUUCCUCCGAAUCUGGGUUGCAGAUUCGGGUUUUUUUUUUUCCUUUUUCCUUCUUCUUAUUCUUCUUCUUCUUCUUCCUUCUUAUUCUUCUUCCUCUGAAUCUGGGUUGCAGAUUCAGUUUUUUUUUAAUUUUUUUUCCUUUUUCCUUCUUCUUCUACUUCUUCUUCCUCCGAAUCUGGGUUGCAUAUUUCGUUUUUUUUCUUUUCUUCUUCCUUCGAAUCUGGGGAAGAUGAAGGUUUUUUUUUUUUUUUCCUUCUUCUUCUUCUUCUUCUGGGUUGCAGUUUCAGUUGUUUUUUUCUUUUUUCUCUUCUUCCUCUUCCUUUUUCUUUUCUUCUUCUAGGUUUUUCUUUUUGUUCUUCUUCUGGGUUGGCGUUGAGGAGGUCGAGGGAACGGACGACGGGGGAAGAGGAGGGAGGGAGAGGUUGGCGCUGUCGGACUCAAACACCGGAGGGUUCAGGUGUGCGUGGUGAGAUUGGUGUCGGAAAUGGCGGAGCUUGAUAAAAUUGGGUGGUGGGUGUCUUGAUAAAAUUAGGGGAUGAAAUGGGUUCUGCUGUGUGGGUAUCAGGGAAAGGAAGGGUGUCGGUGGGUAGGGGUGAAAAGGAUGGAGGAGUGGAGACGUGGAAGGGGUGGGGGGUGGGGAAGACGAAGGGGAACUGGGAGGGUGGGAUUUGGGGAAGACAAAGGGGUGAGUGAUGGGAGGGUGGGAUUUGGGGAAAACGUUGGAGUUGAAAAAAUCCAAACCUUGAUUGCAGUCAAUAGCCCAAAUGUCAAAGCCGCUUGAAUUUCCUAAAAAAAAUGGUAAAUCUAUGAAUCAAAAUGGAGAGAGAGGCAGAGAGAGGGAUGGGAAAUUACUCGGUGGUGGAGGUGAUCAGUGAUGUGGGCAGAGAGGACGUGGACGGCGGAGGUGCAGAUGACGAGGUAGGAGAAAAAACCCCAAAUGUCGGCCUCCCUCUUCUAUCCUCCCUCAAUAACAAGCUUUAUGUAUCGACCCAGAUCAAAAAUUCCAUAACCAUGGGGAUUUUUUCAGCUCUAAAGUUGGUCAAAGCCACAAACCCAUUUUCAAAGAAUUAAAGGUAUGGAAAUGGAGCAUCAUUCCAAUUGAGCAUCAUUCCAAUCCAUUUUCAAAGAAUUAAAGGUCUGGAAAUGGAGGCGUACCAUGUGGGUCCCUGCAUCGCGGAUCUGGAACUCGUACUCGUACUGGGUUUUCAUUUCUGAGUGAGAUGGAGCGAGUUGAGGAGGACAGAUGGGGUUGGGUUUUUUGGGAAGGAGAAAAGGCUUGGUGGUAGGGUGGGUAUCAGGGAAGGGGAAGGGUGUCGGUGGGUGAGGGGUGGAGGCGAUGAAGGGAUGUCGGGUGGGGAAGACGAAUGGGUAGUGGGUUUUUUUUUAUUUUUUUAUUUUUUAUUUUUAAAUAUAUAUAUAUAUUUUUUUUUUAAUUUCCACAUAGAUGACACGUGGUGCCUAGUCAUUGUCCACCUGGACGCCACGUCACAGUUAACGGGAGACUUAACAGUUUGACUAACGGAUGUAUGAGACUGUCCCAAAAUUUACACUUUAGGUAUGACUCUGGGAUGAAAAAAACUUGAUGUACUAAAUGUUGAAAAUCACGAAACAUGAGGGUAGUAAACAAUCUUUUGCCCAAAAAUAAAAUAUUUGCUAAAGUUUAAUAAAAAUCAAUCAUUCUAUGCAUGCUUAUCAAUUAUUGUUGCUAAGUCUGUAUGUAUGAAUAGUUGCUUUAAGUUUUGAUGUGCAAAGUUCUAUAGAAUGAAAGCGUUCUACGGUCCAUCUGGGUUGCAAUGCUGGAGUCGGAAAUUUUUCACCAGUGGGCAAGCUUAAAGACUUCAAUCUUCAUACAUAAAGAAACUUGACCCUGUAUUUUUCAUAGUAUCAUCUAGCUUAAUAAAAUUUUCACAAGGGAGCCAAGAAUUUUCGUUAUUAAACAAAUACGUAUUAAAAUUCAAAUGAAUUUUGUUUGUACCAUACUUGACCAAUCCCGAAACUACUGAGCACCGAUCAACGUUAUACCGUCAAGGACCCAAAAGAGCUUCCCUCCAAUAAGGAGGCCAAUCACAGCGCGACACGUGUCGACAUUAGAAGCCAAUCAUAGCGCGACACGUGUUAACAUCAGAAGCCAAUCACAACACGACACGUGUCAAUGUCAGAUUGAAACUAGAAACUCUCUUCUAUAAAUAGAGAUCAUUCUCUCACAAUAUUUCCUAAUGUCAUUUGUACUAAAUCAUUCACUAGUACUCACUAAAGGAGAGCUUGAACCUAUGUACUUGUGUAAACCUUUCACAAUUAAUGAGAACUCCUAUACUCUGUGGACGUAACCAAUCUGGGUGAACCACGUACAUCUUGUGUUUGCUUCCCUGUCUCUAUCCAUUUACAUACUUAUCCACACUAGUGACCGAAGCAGUCUAGCAAAGGUCACAAACUUAACAUUUUCUGUUGUACCAAAGUCCUCACUGAUUUUGUGCAUCAACAUUUGGCGUCGUCUGUGGGAACGACACUUAUUCGCACUCUCUUCAGCUUUGCCAAGCUUGUUUCCACCAUUCAUACACUCUCUUUUAACCAGACAUCCCUCUCCAACAUAGGGAGCGAAGGAAGCCACAGUACACAGAAUGACACCCAUCUUGCACCUAAUGCAAAGCAACGAAAUAAGGAAGGAAAGAGGGUUGCUCUUCAAGCUAAAGUCGAUGAACUAGAAGCCUAGAACAACAAGAUAUCAAUGAAGAAUGAGGUCCUCCAGGAGCAGUAUGAGAAGCUCUUUGAGACGCUCCACGAAACUAGGCGAACUCAAACACGAGAGCUCGUUGCCCCUGUAGACAUCAACCAUCAUCUGGGUGCCUCCCAACACGGAGGGUCACCUCUUUUCGACAUGGGUAUCCUGAUGAGGAGUGAGCUAAUCAUCAAAACAUUGAUCAACAUAAGACUUCUCUCAACCCAGAUGCUUCGACCUGAAGUAGAAGAAGUGGAGGAAGACACCUCCUUGCAGAAGGGUUGGAAGGAUCGAAAGCUGUUUAUCGUGACUGCCGAGAUUUCUUAAAGCAACGUCGAGAGAAUCCCCUCCACAUAUGCUCGAAGAUCAAUGACCCAAAAGUUUCCGAAAGACUCGGUCCCCUCCCACGGCCCAGGUCAGCUGCCAAUCUAGGGAAGGAACGACAGGUCCCAGAGGAACAUGAAGGUAUAGGGGACUUUGAGGUAUUCCGACAGACUUGCCCUAGAAGUUAGUACGGCGAGUCCAAGAAAAAAUCACACGCCCUUGCUCAAACUUUCCUACUUCUAAGAGGUGAUGGAGACUUACGAAAGAAAAUUCUAGUGGUACAUGACUCCACUUAGGACCCCCUUGUCCUACGGCUCAUUGAGGAAGUAAACAAGUUGAAGGCCUAACGUCAGGCUGAGAUACCUGACUGGAACCAACCCAGGCCUGGCCCUCUCACAAGAAGGAUCAUCGACACCUCCUUCAAGAGAAGACAAAACAAAAGCUUAGUUUACAACUCUAUACUAGAAGGGAGGAUCCAAUUGAACACAUUAACCUCCUUAAGUCCACUAUGGCAUAUCGGAUGCACAUCGACAAAGAGCGAUGUCUUCUCUUCCCUUCCACCCUCUCUGACGGAGCUCUAAACUGGUAUUGCCGUCUUCGACCUGAGACAGUAGACUCAUUUGAGGAAUUGAGGAAACUGUUUAUCUUUUAACACAUCUUCCAGAUUGAUCACUUGCAUUAUGCAGAUGACUUGUACACUAUUCACUAGAAGCCGGACGAGUCACUACGAGAGUAUGCCGGUCGCUUCAGCCAUGAGCAUUCUUACCGCGCUAAGGCAGAUGACAAGACCACCCUCAAGGCCUUCACAACAGGCCUACAUGAUUGUUUCUUCAAGUACAUGAUCAAUGCCAACACUUGGAAGACUUACUCUGAGGUGAUGGCACAUGCUUACAACCACGCAUCCGCCGAAGCAAGGACAUACCAAGGGAACCCCUAUAUGGUUAACCCCUAUCAACAAAUGGGAAGUGGAAGUCAAGUUCUACUAAGUGAGGAGAUAUUGGCCAUUUAGACACCCAUUGCAUCAUCUCCUACCUCAUUUAACUACUCACUAAGUCACCAAACGUAUUUGUCUCUUAGUAAGAGGAAUGAUUUUUACACUCAGCAAGCCCAUUACAACAAGAGGGAUAAAAGUUCGUAUCAAGACAACCAGGGUUGAACGUACCGUCAACUAUUAUGACUAUGGGGCUAAGCCUCACUUUUUCAAAGUGGAGGACUAGGUACUGAAGGAAAUGCUAUUAUAAGAAGGCAUACACAUUACAAAUGUUUUGACUCUUAACCGCUUGAGAUCUUUUAUCACAUAAGCCAUUCGGCAAAUAUUUAAAGAAGUGAGAAUUCAGACAACUUCUUCUGAGUCUUUUACGUUCCUAGUACUGGAACACUUGGUCUACGCUGACCUACCCUUAUACUCUAACUCAGAGCUUCAACAUGCGUACUUUGACACAAAGUAUGUGAUACUAAGUGUUACAACCAACAUGGUUCACAUAUCAAAAGCAUGGAUCCCUUCAUGCAUAGCAAAACAUUCAUAAGCAUCACUCACAUCAAUCAACAUAAACAUUAUACAUUCCAACACAUUCAUACAUAAACAUCAUACAUUCCAACAUAUCCAUACAUAAGCCAACUGUGCUUCGAAAGGGUUCAACAUACUUUGUGUCUUCAACACUUGCUACAAUGUGCCUCAACACCUUGCACUUAUUCUCACCAACCAAGUGAUGAAAUAUGAAGAAGGAACUUAUCUUCAUGCCACCAACCAGGUGAUGAAAUGUACAACCCGUACUCUCUUUCAUGCCAUCAACCAUGUGAUGAAAUAUACAACCCGUACUCUAAUAUCAUUUGGCAACUUGCCACUCAUGCCACCAACCAGGUGAAGAAGGAACUCAUCUUUAUGCCACUAACCAGGUGAUGAAAUGUACAACCCGUACUCUCCUUCAUGCCACCAACCAGGUGAUGAAAUGUACAACCCAUACUUUAAUAUCAUUUGGCAACUUGCCACUCAUGCCACCAACCAGGUGAAGAAGGAAUUCAUCUUCGUGCCACCAACCAGGUGAUGAAAGGUACAACCCGUACUCUCCGUCAUGCCACCAACCAGGUGAUGAAAUGUACAACCCGUACUCUAAUAUCAUUUGGCAACUUGCCACUCAUGCCACCAACCAGGUGAAGAAGGAACUCAUCUUCAUGCCAUUAACCAGGUGAUGAAAUGUACAACCCGUACUCUCCUUCAUACCACCAACCAGGUGAUGAAAUGUACAACCAGUACUCUAAUAUCAUUUGGUAACUUGCCACUCAUGCCACGAACCAGGUGAAGAAGGAACUCAUCUUCAUGCCACCAACCAGGUGAUGAAAUGUACAACCUGUACUCUCCUUCAUGCCACCAACCAGGUGAUGAAAUGUACAACCCGUACUCUAAUAUCAUUUGGCAACUUGCCAUUCAUGCCAUCGACUAGGUGAAGAAGGAACUCAUCCUUGUGUCACUAACCGGGUGAUGAAAUAUGAUGAAGGAACUCACAUUCGUACCACCAACCAAGUGAUGAAAGCAACUCACCAUUCAUUCUACCUACCAGAAGACGAGUGGUACAACUUGUACAUGUGAACUUCUAACAUUCACAAAUAAUCAAAAAACCCUCAAGCUUGACAACUCAACUAGGGGAGCACUUAUGCCCAACAAGAGUUAUAGUCACCAACAAAGUCUUAUUGCAAGCCAACAACAACUUCAGUGCAUGGCGUACGAAGAUCAAACUAUUCAGCCUUCUUGCAUCUGCUUCAGACAUUUCCCAUUUGUAACAAUGCAAACACUACAACUCGUAGAAAGCUUCACACUCUUAAUCAAGACAGUGUGAAGCAAAACCAAUUUAUGGUGCCAAUAAGAGCUUCAUCGAAGGAGUUCAACCACAAUUCUCAAAAACUUCACACACUCUUGAUCAAGACAGUGUGAAGCAAAACCAAUUUAUAAUGCCAACAAAAGCUUCAUCAAUGGAGGGCAACCACAAUUCUCAAAAGCUUUACACACUCUUGAUCAAGACAGUGUAAAGCAAAACCAAUUUAUGGUGCCAACAAUUCUCAAAAGCUUCACACAUUCUUGAUCAAGACAGUGUGAAGCAAAACCAAUUUAUGGUGCCAACAAGAGCUUCAUCAAAGGAGUUCAACCACAAUUAUCAAAAGCUUCAUACAUUCUUGAUCAAGACAGUGUGAAGCAAAACCAAUUUAUGGUGCCAACAAGAGCUUCAUCAAUGGAGGGCAACCACAAUUCUCAAAAGCUUCACACACUCUUAAUCAAGACUGUGUGAAGCAAAACCAAUUUAUGGUGCUAACAAAAGCUUCAUCAAAGGAGUUCAACCACAAUUCUUAAAAGCUUCACACACUCUUGAUCAAGACAGUGUGAAGCAAAACCAAUUUAUGGUGCCAACAAGAACUUCAUCAAUGGAGGGUAACCACAAUUCUCAAAAACUUCACACACUCUUGAUCAAGACAGUGUGAAGCAAAACCAAUUUAUGGUGCCAACAAAAGCUUCAUUAAAUGAGUUCAACCACAAUUCUCAAAAGCUUCACACACUCUUGAUCAAGACAGUGUGAAGCAAAACCAAUUUAUAGUGCCAACAAGAGCUUCGUCAAUGAAGGGCAACCAUAAUUCUCAAAAGCUUCACACACUCUUGAUCAAGAUAGUGUGAAGCAAAAUCAAUUUAUGGUGCCGAAAAACGCUUCAUUAAUGGAGGGUGACUACAAUUCUCAAACCUUCGAGGCAAAUUCAAGACUGUUUGAAGCAAAUUCAAUUUAUAUGGUUCAUCCAAACCUUCGACUACUACAAGGUGUGGAUUGCAUCACAAUCUCUUGCUCAACAGUGUGGAAGCAAAAUUUGUAUAUGUUGUCUCUCCCACAUUUUCAAAUUUCUAGUUUCCCAAAAAAUAAAAAAUAAAAAAAAAUCAAUGAAUGACAACUACAAAUUCUCAAAAGCUUCACACUAUCUUGAUCAAGAUAGUGUGAAGCAAAAUCAAUUCAUGGUACCCAACAAAGCUUCACCACAAAAGCUUCAUCAAUGGAGGACAACUACAAAUUCUCAAAAGCUUCACACUAUCUUGAUCAAGAUAGUGUGAAGCAAAAUCAAUUCAUGGUACCUAACAAAAGCUUCAACUACAAAGCUUUACCUACAAAGCUUCAACUCCAAAGCUUCACCUACAAAAGCUUCACUCACAAUAGCUUCACCUACAAAAGCUUCACCCAUAAAAGCUUCACCCACCAUAAAAGCUUCACUUACAAUAGCUUCUCCUACAAAAGCUUCACCCAUAAAAGCUUCACCCACCACAAAAGCUUCACCCACAAAAGCUUCCCCCACCACAAAAACUUCACCCACCCACAAAAGCUUCACCCACAAAAGCUUCCCUCACAACAAAAGCUUCACCUACAAAGCUUCAACACAAAAGCUUCACCUACAAAAGCUUCACACUAUCUUGAUCAAGAUAGUGUGAAGCAAAAUCAAUUCAUGGUACCCAACAAAGCUUCAACCUCAAAGCUUCACCUACAAAGCUUCACCUAUAAAGCUUUAUAUAUAUAUUUUCGGAAAUUCGAAAAUUCAAAAAUUAAAAAAAAAAAAAAAAUUGCCUAGGCCUCAUCUUCUUUGGGCCUAACAACUUUCAUAAUAAAUGGUGAAGUUUUGGGCUACCACUUAGAAAGGAAAAUGGUGAAGUUUUGUUACUUUGGAAACUUGGCUACUAGCAAGACACCUCCUUCAUCAACUCCCUCGACCGGAGACUUGGGGGAUUCCUACCAUGUGCUACUACACCUUGAUACUUAGAAGUCUCACGACCACUCAUUGACUUGGAUUUUUCAAGUCUCCAAACGAGAAGUUUUCCUCACUCGGGAAAUUAAGGGAGCACUACCUCAACCUACAUGCUUCACUCACAAAGCUUCAAUAAAAGGAAAAAUUCAAAGAACUUAGUUAAGAAGGCCUUGAUGUAUUUAACACAAUACAUUGAAAUGAAGCAAAGCUUGUUUAUUGAUAUCUCUGAUAAGUUACAAAUAUGUACAUAGACAAGAAUUAAAAUAAACAAACAAGAGGGAGCCUUCACAAAGGUUGCUCAUGAGAAGUCUCAGUAGUCGGCAGAGCCCCAGAAAAAGAGGAGGCACCAGAGGGUGAUUAUUCGGAGCCUCAGUACUAGGCAGAACCCCAGAAGGAGGAAGCACUGAAGGUUGAUCAUUUGGAGCUUCAUUACGCGGUACAGCCCUAGAAGACGAAGGCAAUAAAUGCCUUUGGAACAAACCUCUAAACCUCUGAUGAUCAAGUAAAAUCUGACCAUCAGAUUCCUGCAGCUGGUCGAGCUUCCUCUUUAUGUUUGUAGCAUAGUCAUGUGCAAGCCUGUGCAACUGUUUGUUCUCAUGCUUGAGCCCUUUAAUCUCCUGUUUGAGACUUAUCACUUCAGCCGCCAAUGAUUCAACUUGGCGGGUUCGAGCAAAUAGGCGUUGGGCCAUAUUAGACACAGAAGAUGCACACUGAACACUGAGAGCCAGAGAAUCCUUAACAGCCAACUUAUCAAACCGUUUGGAAAAUAGUCUGUUAUCUUUAGGAGUGAGAAGGUUCCUGGCCACCACCGCAGCGGUCAUAUCAUUCUUCAUCAUAGAGUCCCCAAUGGUAAGAAGACCAGUAGGGGAUAAGAAGGAUGGGCGCCAUAUGUUGUCUUGAGAAGGCAUGGCUGCCUCUUCACCAAAGUUUAAGUCAAAACGAUGGUCGGAUGGGCCAGACAUUCUCAGAAAUGAUGAAGGAGAAAUGAGGUGCAAUAAAUCUCUGAAGUAAGAGGAAAAUUCCUACAAGCAAUAACUCUCUGAAUGUACUUCUUGAACACAAUUGGUGCCCUUAUAAAAGAAAGGGCAACAGGGCAGUUGGUUCAAAAAUCGAAGAGGCACCACUUUCCGGAUUCCAAGGAGGCACCACUUUCCACACGCAACAUCAGCUCCUCGUGUACCACAAAUAACUUUGCCAGAUAACUUUGCCAAAGAUCUUUGACAAAGUUUAGACAUAUAAAUUUUAAAGGUUCAGCCCUACUAUUACCCACAAGGGUAAAGAAACAACACCACUGCUUGAUAACUAGAAAGUCCUUAUGUGUGUUAACCUCCGUGCUCAGUGGCAAGGCAGACUAGCAAAAAUGCCCAACCUUUACUCACAUUCGAGAAAACACUCCCAACAAGAUUGCUUGCUCAAAAAUCGAAGAGGCACCGCUCUCCGAAUCUCGAGAGCCAGACUCCCAAUAGGAUUACUUGCUCAAAAAUUGAAGAGGCACCGCCCUCUGAAUCUCGAGAGCCAGACUCCUAACAUGUUACUUUCUCAAAAAUUGAAGAGACACCGCUCUCCAAAUCUCAAGAGCCAGACUUCGAACAAGAUUUCUUUCUCAAAAAUCGAAGAGACACCAUUCUCCGAAUCUCGAGAGCUAGAUCUCCGACAGGAUUGUUUGUUUGAAAACCGAAGAGGCACCGCUCUCAGAACUUCGAGAGCCAGAUUUCCUUGGAUAAAGCUUGUUUGCAUUCUUCAAACGCAACAUCAGCUUUCCAGAUACCAUAGACCACUUUUUCAAAGUGCUCUGACAAAGUUAAAACACAUGAAGCUUGCAGCUCCCACUACAUUGCUAUAACCAAGAAGGGUAAAUGAAUAACACUACUACUUGUUAGGGAGACUCCUAUAUACGUCGACCUCAAUCAUCCACAGCCAGGCAGACCUGCAAAUAAAAAAAAAUGCUCAACUUUUCUUCACAUCCGUGAGGGCACUCUUAGCAAAUUCUCUCGAAAUACUCAAUUUCUUUUCCUCUCGAUAAUACCUCUGCAAACAAGCCAUACCAAAGCAAGAGUAUCUCAUAUCAUCAGGGUUAAAAGCAAGAGUAUCCCAUAUCAUGCUUUUUCCCUGUUUUUUCCUUUGGCCUUGUUCUUACCUGCAAGACAAUAAGAAAGAGAGCAAUCAGUCAGCACUUGGAAUCAAGCUUUUAGUCAGGAACUGACUGCCUAGAACUCCUUGCCUGAUUACUUACCUGACAUUGCUCUCGAGUACUCAUCUUCAACAUCUUAUGCUUCUAGAGAAGAUACCACAUCUGCUUGAGGAACAGAUAGGGCAAGUAAGAAGGAUACAAGGAAGCAUGUGGAGACAAACGUAAUAGAACACGUGCCGAUACAUCCACUACUUUGUCAACAGUAAAAGUAUCUCAUAUCAUCAGGGUCGAACGUACUCUAGAUUUGAUAGACUUGUUUUGACCCUUAAAAUCUUGAGUCGGCCUUAUACUCUAGAGGAAACCAGAAAACCCUUCAGCCUAGUUCAAGAAUAAGCCUGUGGAAAGUUACUUAUUCAAAAGCAAAAGUAUCUCAUAUCAUCUCUUCUCCAUUUGCUUUUCAUUAUCCUUGUUGUUGUUUACGACGCAAGGAAAAGGAGAACAAUCAACCGGAAGCCGAAGUCGAACCUCAAAUCCAGGUUGCUUGCUUGGAAGUCUAAUUGCUUACCUUGUCUGUUACCUCAUUCGGUAAAUCUCCUAGCUCGGCGACUUGGGAAACUUUUACUAUAGGGUUUGUAUCGCACUUGACCAAGCCCGAAACGAUAAGUAAGCUUCAAGUGAAAUUGAUACAUUACCUUGUGCAUCUUCAUUGGUUAAAGAUACCCCCCAGGAUGGUGGAAAAGUACUUCAAGAGAAGAUACCACAUCUAUAUAUGAGACAAAUAAGGCAAGUGAAAAUGAUACCACACUUCGGUACUUAGAAGUUUCGUGAUUACUCAAUAACUUGGAUCUUGCAAGUCCCCAACCGAGGAGCUUCCCUUACUUGGGAACUUAGGGGAGCACUGUUUGUACCAUACUUGACCAAUCCCGAAACUACUGAGCACCGGUCAACGUUAUACCAUUAAGGACCCAGAAGAGUUUCCUUCCAACCAGAAGGCCAAUCACAGUGCGACAUGUGUCGACAUCAGAAGCCAAUCAUAGCGCGACACGUGUUAACAUCAGAAGCCAAUCACAACACGACACGUGUCAAUGUUAGAAUGAAACUAGAAACUCUCUUCUAUAAAUAGAGAUCAUUCUCUCACAAUCAUUUGUACUAAAUCAUUCACUAGUACUCACUAAAGGAGAGCUUGAACCUAUGUACUUGUGUAAACCCUUCACAAUUAAUGAGAACUCCUCUACUCCGUGGACGUAGACUAUCUGGGUGAACCACGUACAUCUUGUGUUUGCUUCCCUGUCUCUAUCCAUUUAUAUACUUAUCUACACUAGUGACCGAAGCAGUCUAGCAAAGGUCACAAACUUAACAUUUUAUGUUGUACCAAAGUCCUUACUGAUUUUGUGCAUCAACAAAUUCAAAAUUGUACAUGUACAAGAAGUAAUGACACUAGUAGAAAAAACUAUUUGCGUGACCAAACUUUAUGCGAUGAAAGGAACUCGUCACACAAAACAGGUUAGCGCGACAAAUAUACAAUUUCAUCGCGCAACUUCGUCAAAAAUAAUUUAAUGGGACCAACAACUUGCAUGACGCAAUCUUUCGUCGCGCAAAACCACUUUGUGAGACAAAAAAACCCUUCGUUGCGCAGAGGUUCGAAGAAAAACACCCAGAUGCCUGUAUUUUAGGGCCAAAAAUAGAUACGACGUGUGUUACUUUGCGAGAUCAAUAUUUGGUCGCGCAAAGGUUCACACAUUUACUUAACUGUUAGUUGUUUAUUCAAAAUGUUGAAUGCGUUAUUUACUCCAUGGUUUUGAGCAACGAAGGUUUCAUCGUGCAAAGAAGCUAGAAUUCCUUUAAAUUGACAGUUUAGCUCAGUCUCAACACAAUUCAAUCUGAAAACUCAUUACCUUCAUCGAAUUAUUAUUCCAAUUUUUUUUGUUUUUUUGUACACAAUGGCAGACUCUGGUGGUCCUUUGUCAAAGAGAGUUCAAGGUGAAGAUUUUGAGAAAGGUAAUGCGUACUAAAUUUUGUUGGUUGUGUAAAUUAAUUAAAUAUUUAAGUAGACUAAUAUAAGUUUUUAUUUUGUUGGUAGACAAGAAAAAGAAGAGAGUUGCGACAUGUGUUCAAUACACUUCUUUUGCUAAGAGCCGUUACUAAAUCACUUACGCAUAAUUAGUAGGAUAUGAGAAGUCGGAUAUGGUGAACAAGUUUAGGGGUGACGUUGGGGUAUUGGUGCGUGAUAGAUGCAGAGUGAAUUGGGAGUCUUGGAGAGACGUCCCCAAGGAGAUAAAGACGGUCAUGAUCGAUGUGUUAGCAGUACAUGUAAAUUAUUAAUUAGUUAAAUAAUAAUGUAGUUCUUAAGAUAAAAUAUAAUAGUGAUAUGUAUAAUUUAUUUAUGUUUGCAUAUCAGCCUGAUUGGGACAUUGACAAAAAUGACACAAAUCUGAUAAAGUGCAUUGACGUUGCGUUCAAAUAUCGUUUUCGGGAGUUGAAGUUUGAUGUUGAAUGUGACGUGGAACGACACGAAGUGGCUGGACCAGUAGAUGAUUAGAAUAGUUUUUUUUUUUUUUUUUUUUUUUUUGUAUUAGUCUAUUUAUGGUUUAUUAAAUAAUGACACUAAAUUAUUAUUAAUUUGGAAGAAUAAAUUUACAUGGACUGUAUUUAUUUUGUUUCUUCUCAAGAACAUAUUUCUAAAAUAAUAUAAUAUUGACUUUAGUAUUUUGAAAAACUGUUUUCGAGACAAAAUAAAAUAAAUAUUUCUGAUCGUCGCGCAAUGAUUUACGCAACAAAAAAAAAUUGUCUCUAAAACCUUUGAGGGACGAGAUUUCAUCUCACAAAAACAUUGUAAAAUGGUAGGUUAGCGUUUAUGUCGUCAUAUUUACUGCGUAUUUACCGCUUAAUUACGCAACAAAAGUUUGGUCGCCAGAACGUUGAGGGACGAGACUUUCAGAACUAAAGAGUCAUGAUUGCCAUGUCUUUCUACAAUACCUACUUCCAGUUGGUAUUCGGCACUUGUUGCCCGAUGAUGUCAUGAAGCCAAUCAUAUUGUUGUCCGUAUUUUUCCCCCCAAUUGAUUGCAAGGUUGUUGCGAAAAUUAGACAUUAAUCAGUUGCACCACGACAUUGUCCAAGUCCUCUGCAAGUUCAAACAAAUAUUUCCUCCAGCUUUCUUCACAAGUAUGAUCCAUGUUAUGGUUCACUUGUUGGAGGAGGCAUUGCUUGUUGGACCAGUUAACUAUCGAUGGAUGUACCCAAUAGAAAGGUAUAAACUCGUUAUUCAAAUGUUUAUUCAUUGUCAUACAAUAUGUUUAUCUAAUUUAUUUGCUAACGGUGUUCGCAUUUUUCAAUGCUUCUAGCGAUCAAAAAAAGUGUACGAAAAAGGGCCAAACCCGAAGGAUCCAUUAUAGAGGAUUGGGUCGCAUAGGAGUCCCUUACAUAAUCGUCCUCAGCACAAUAAUGACGGGGGUGUGCAAAAAGAAAAAUUUUCUAUUUUUGCCCAAGUCGCACAACCCUUUGGCAAGCCUGUUCGAGGGGAGGAAUUUACCAAAAAGGAAAUGGAGGUUGCACAUUGGUUCAUACUAAACAAUUGUGAUGAGACAAUGAUUUACCUGGAUGAGCAUGAACAAAUGAUGAAGCGGGAUUAUCCUUCACAUCUAUAUGCGAAGAAGCACCACGAAUUCUUUCCUCGGUGGUUUCUCGAAUAUGAAGUUUUUUGCUUUUGUAUUGAACAUGUUAGUAAUUUCAUCAAUAUAUUCGAAGUGGCUAAAACAAGAAGUUAUUUUUUGCUAUCAUGUUAGGUAAAUCAGUUAAAAGCAUCAAAUUCACCUACUUACACUAAAGAGUUAUAUAACUUGGCAUUCAGUCUUAUUCGGGUAGAAUCGUACUCCAGUUGCCAUGUUAACAGCGUCAAGUUUUUGGGGGCUAAGUGUGAAGACAAGUUGUGUACGUAAAACAUCGGUGUCUAUGUCCCAGGUGGUGGCGAAAGUACAGACAUUAAGUUUUAUGAUAAAUUAUCCAAUGUCGUACACGUGUUGUACAAAGACCGUUACCAAGUUAUCGUUUUUAAAUGUCGAUGGUUUGAUACAAACCCACAUAGGCACCUUAAGAGGACGAUUGCUUACUCUUAGUCAACACUACCAGAACUUGGUACGAUGACGACCCUUAUAUUUUGGCAAGUAUGGCAAAACAUGUUUUUUAUGUAGAUGACCCUAAGGUCGGAAAGGGUUGGAAAGUUGUUCAAAGGAUUAAGCAUUGGAAUAUGUAUGCUAACCAGACCGAGAUCCUAGUUCUAAUGGGGACGACAUCAAUGUCGCGAACCAACGACUUGAGUCUUCAAUAGAAAUUGGUGGGGAAACAGUACAGGAUAAUAAUCUUAUCCAAGAACCAUUUCAGAUACCAGGCGUUGCUAGUAUUGAAAUACCGAUUGACUCACUUUCAAUUGACCUUGGUGAUCUUCCUCGAUAUGAUCCACCAGAGGCUCUGAACGAUGACGAUGACAUCAGGGCCGGUCCUGAGUUUCUUGGUGCCCAUAGUGAUCAGUCAAAAUGUGCCCUUUUUCAAUAGCGACCAUAUAUUAAAAAAAAUUUAGAUAGAGCUGAAACCCAGUCGAAGCUGGGAGGGGCUAGGCCCUCACGCCUAUAUUAUAUUACUUGAAAACUAUACAUAGGGGAUAUAGUACCUAAACCUGACGAUCAAAAGUAUAAUCAUAUACAACCACACCAAGCAAAACUCCUUGAAAUUUCCACUUUUAAGAAAUCGUCUUCUUGCAUUUUUUUGAAGUGUAGCUUUAAUAAUUUUUUUCCUUUUCAUAUUACCAUAAAGUUAUUUCCUAAACGACAUGGCUUCAAUAAUUUUCAAUUUCAAAUUAUCAUUCCUACAUAUAUUAUAUAUUAUAAAGAUACUAACAUAUCAUUCAAACAUAUAUUAUAAAAAAAUGAAUUGAAAUUUCAACAUAUAUUCUUAAAAUUAACUAAUCGCCAUUAGCCACUCGGGUUUUGCUACUUUGGCAAUUGGCAGUCUUAAUACGACACAUUUAUGGUUUUGGGACCUGAUAUGAAAUUAAAAUUGAUUAAGUAAUUUGUGAAUAUAAAAUUAUAACUGAUUUAUAAAAAUUAAAAUUAAGUUAAAAAAAUUGAGGAAAAUUGAAUAAAAAAAAGGAUUGAGCAUAUUUGGGUGAACUCAGAAUUGUCCCUUCUGGGGCCGUGGACUGAUUUACAAAGAAUCAGAAGUGGAGACGACUGUCCUCCGGCACUGCCGGUCUGUGACUGAGAGAGACUGAGAGCCUGUGAGAAGAAAAAUUUGCGAAGACGAAUAGUCGAAGGCAGUUGGGAAUUUGGGAAAUUGCUUCGAAAUUCGGGGUUGCGGCCCCUUGUGGGUUUUGCAAUAUACAGUCGUUGGUCGUUGAAAGAACCGACUCAUGAAUCAUAAUCCCUUUAAUUAAUUAAGGCUUGAAACUUGGUCGUUGGAAGUUGGAAGGCGUAUUGAAGACUGAAGAAUUUAGGGGCCUGUGCCAAUUUUUGUUUCUUACCUAUAUAUAAGAUAUGUGUUAAAAAAAUUUUGUGCCUCUCUCAAUUUUGGGCUGUGGACGAAUGCCCUGUUAGCAUUGGGCCAGGGCCCGUCUUGGGUGACAUACCUAUCGACGAUGAGGAAUGAAACAUUGAAGAUUAUGAUACUGAAGAUUUUGAAUUGUUUUGUAAAUUAAAUUGUAACGAUCCAUUCCCAAUUUUACGGUUUUUAUAAUUUUAAUAAGUGAAUUUACGAAAAUGCCCUUUGAGGCAAAUGCAUAGACUUUUGUUGACUGCCAUGUCGUGCCACAUAUGACUCAUUUUCUUGGCGUAUCUUCCUAGUACUCGUCGCUACGAACGCGUAGGCGCAAACAGAGCGUAAUUUGGAGUUAUAAUGAAGACUCUACGAACCUUUAAACGUCAAGGGCAUUUGGGUAACUUGACAAUUGAACAUGUGAAAUUGGUUGUGUGCCACGUGAGACCCACAGAUUGAUCCCCAUUUUUCUGGAUUCUUCUUUUCCUCUUCUCCUUCUUUCUCCCGUGACUCUUCUCAACUCACAUAUCUCUCUCUCGCCCUCAACUCCCUCCCUGUGACACUUAAGCACCAAUCCACCUUCCCAACGAAUUAAUGACUUGAAAAUCACCAUAUUCUUACUCUCCUCAGACCUAGAAACCUGAAUCAAAUUUUGGUUUCUCGGAAUACUGUGCACGGAUGCUAUUUCAAGAACCUUCAUUAGAGUCGUGGGUUUCCCUUCCGUUUCAGACAAUUUCCAGCCAUCUUUUGAACUCAAAACAGAUUGAUUCCUCUUGUUGAUUAGAUAAAUUUUCAUGUUUGGACCGUUUAAUUUAGUGAAGAAAUGAGAAAGUUAUAAUGAGGCCAAACCACGGUGAUUUAUCCGUCGUGCAAGGUACCAAUCUCUUCGUCUCAUUUAGAAAUACGAUUUCCGUUUUGGAAUCACUUGAUUUCGUUGAGUAUUGACAAAGGACGUUGAAAGGUUGCCCAGAAAUUCUAGCGAAUUUCCCUAUUUCCAGCGGACAGCCGUCUUUUAGGCCAUUUUCUGGCCAUCUCCUGCGACCAUUUGGACUCCAAGUAGGUAUAAUUUUGUUCUACACUUCUCUAGCUUCGAUUUGGUAUAUUAUGGGUCGAAUUGGGUUGAGAAACAAGUGAGAUAUGGAGUUCUAAAGAUUGCCCAGGAAAUCUGCAAAAUAUGCAGAAUCUGGCGAAAUUUCAUUAAGGUUCGCCACUUGAAUAGUAUGGCAAUCGAUGAUCCGACCGUUGGAUCAUCACUAAACAUUAAUACAUUAUAUUAUGUAAUAUUUGAGGACCAAAGGAACUUUCAUAUUGGAAAUCCGACUUACGGAUCUUCCUAAAUUGGAUUUGUAAGUUCGUAAAAUAAAACGUCAGCUGCCACUUAAUUUUGGCAAUUGGCGGGGAUCCGACAGUCGGAUCGUGGUAAUAUUUUAAUAUGUUAUUCUAGAAACAUAAUGUGUAUUUUUGGAAGCUACGGAUCGAAAAUUUGAGAAGCAGAUCUUUCGAAUCGAAUUACGUAGGGUUGUGGACCUUACCGUUGAUCUUUGAUCAAUGGUUGACUUUUGGUCAAUGAGUCUCAAAUCAUUCUAAAACGUCCUUGGGGAUGUGUUUUUUGUAAGUUACGUGUUCUAUUGAUAAGGAUUAUGAGACGUGGGUUGAUAAUUAUUCUAGGCGCCGAUCGUUCAUGACGCCUCGAUAUUUAUGCUAGGGAGUUAUAGCGCGGACUCCAGGUGAGUGGGCUUUUGGUUUUCUAUAUAUACGUAUAUAUGUUUUACAUUUUCCCAGAAAUGGUUUUAAAUGGAUUUACGUUUUUAAAUGCCAUGUCAAUUGCAUUACAUUUUAGUAUAUGCAUUAGUAUAGAUAUGCAUAUUAUUGCAUGACGCUGUGGACGCCUAAGUAAGCUUCAAGUGAGUGCAUAUUGAUGAUAGUAACUGCAAUGUGUAUGGUUAUGUUUAGAUGCAUUUAGUGCUCAUUAUCCUACACCCUGGUGUUAGUGCUCCUGCCCGUGGCCAGGGCACAGUCUUUCACGUGAUGUUCACCUCCUGCACCGCAUGCUUACCUUGGAUCCAAGUUUGGUGCACAGCCCUGUCGUACAUACCAUAUUAGGUGGUUCCGACUCGUAGGUGACUUGCGAUUAUUCGCACAGCCUUCACGUAAUCGUAGCACUUGAGCGUACUUAUUUACACCCUGCCUUGUCGUAUAAACCAUAUUAAGUGGUUCCGACUCGUGUGCAGGAAUUGGUAGAUGAGCUAUAGGCUCAGCCAUACGGUCACAUUAGGUGACUCCGGCUGACAUAUCAAUUUGCAUUGAUUUAUUUCACCUGGUUUACUUAUUUCACUGCUGGGAUACUUGACAUGGCAUAUACUUGGUUUUCACUACUCUCGAGCAUGAUUUCUACAUAAGUAUGUAUCACUAUUUUUUGAAGGGGUUAUUAUGUUCAAAAAAGAGAAAUGUGUUUUCAAAUGUUUUGUUUUUGCCCACUCACCCUUCUGUUUUUCACCCCUCCAGGUUUUAGCUGCUGAAAGUUCGUAUUGACGAGGAUUCUUGGCGAAUCUCAGUAUAGGUGGUUACCUCUGAGGGUAUGAUCUUUACCCACACUAUUGAACUUUACUUAUGCUCUGACGUCGCGUGUGAAAUGGGUCCAUUCCCACUCACAGCGCACUCUUGUCUUUAGGCACUUUUAGGUUUAAAUUUAUUCACAUUUUCCACAUCACUACACUUUAUGGCUUCGUCACCUUCCAGGUGUCGGCCAUCACAGUUCGAUUCGGAGUCCUAGUGGACAUACCGGGUCGAGGUGUGUCAGUUUGGUAUCAGAGCAUAAGUUGGGCAGUAUUGCAUCCAUCACACGCAUGGUGAAAGCAUUUUAGGUUCUUGAGCUUAAUUUCUGAAUCUUCCCACCUCGUCGAAUACGAAAAUGUAUUAGGUUUUUCUAAGUCUUGAGUGACUUAGUCAACUUAUUGACCUUUUAGAAGAUUAUUUUGGCGAACGCCUCUAAAUUAUAAGUGAAGAAUUCCCCUGCCAAGGAAAGAUGUAGAUUUCAGAUAAGUUGAUGGCCCUGAAGCAAGGCUACUAUAUCAAUAGUUGUGCAUCAUGGGAGAAUUACCUACCAAUUCCACUACCAUCUAGUCAUUUCUACCAACUCUUUCGAGAAUGGAAGCUAAGAAUAGUUUUGAUCCCCUGGCAGUAUUUGUUAGUAUACUUUCUAUCGGAAUUCCUACGAAGUUGUACUUUCGUCAAAAUUUCCAGAAUAUCUCUAGUGAUAAGGUGGUGCUAAAAGGGUAGCACUUGACAUAAGAACAUCAGGGGGGACAAUCAUUUUUGGUCCUUGAUAACACUAUUCUUUCCAAACGUACUAGUGAUUUUUUUGGAUCUUCAGAGGGAAGAUCAACUUUCGUCUAAGUCUGUCCUAAAGUAGAUUAUUAGAAAGAAAAAAUUCUGGCCUUAGGACAUUCCAGCCAACGCUAGUUCCUGAGUUUUCUUUUGGUGACAUACUCGUCAUUUCGACAAGCCUAGGCACCGAUAUACAAGUUGUUAUACCUAUAGUUAGUAGACAUCCCUGAAGUAUUUUCUUUAGAAUUAACGAAACCACCUCACCUGGCCAAUUCCUUACCAAUCGUCCAAACCAAUUAUCUAAGUGGGCUCUAGCCUUUGAUCAGCCUAUGGUGGCAUUAAUAAUUGACGACAUUGUCUGAUAUCCAGGAACUGUCAACCAGUAUUCCAGGGGUAUAACUUUUGAUAUUGGACACUGGCUAAUAUCCGGGAGUGUUACCCUUAUGCAAGGACACCAGUUUACAGUUUCAAGAUAUCGAAUAAUAUCAAAAUAUAGAAUAUGCGUCAAUUAACGGUGCGAUUGGUAGACUGAUUAACAGUGACUACUUGAGCCGAAGAAACUAAAUUGUGAAAACUUAGGAGUAGACCUUGUAUUAAGAUAGUAAACUCAUGAUUAUGUUAACCAUAUUACCUAUUUAGAUAAUCAAAACCUCUUCGACUAGCACUUCUCGAUCACUUUCACAGGUAGACAGUAGGAUCAAAAUACAAAAUGACAUCUCACUGUUAGAAUGUUUGGGGUGUUGAGAAAACUGUGAAGACCUUUUAGUUCAUGGAGUAGAGUUAGUUAGUAGUUUAGCACGGUUCGAGAAGGUAUACCUUUGGCAUCAUUUCUCAAAAUUCUACUUGGGAUGCCAUCGAAUGCAAGAAAUGGAAUACACUAGUGAUUCACCUUGUUAACACCACUAUUUUCUGGGAAAUUAUAUGGGUUUUACAGUAACAGGUUAUUAUGUUUAGAAAAGAGAAAUGUGUUUUCAAACGUUUUGUUUUUUACCACUCACCCUUUUGUUUUUCGCCCCUCUAGGUUUUAGCUGCUGAAAGUUCGUAUCGAUGAGGAUUCUUGGCGAAUCUCAGUAUAGGUGGUUACCUCUGAGGGUAUGAUCUUUACCCAUACUACUGUACUUUACUUAUGCUCUGACGUCGCGUGUGAAAUCGGUCCAUUCCCACUCACAGCGCACUCUUGUCUUUAGGCACUUUUAGGUUUAAAUUUAUUCACAUUUUCCAUAUCACUACACUUUAUGGCUUCGUCACCUUUCAGGUAUCGGCUAUCACAGUUCGAUUCGGAGUCCUAGUGGACAUACUGGGUCGAGGUGUGUCAUAAAUACAAUUGUAUUUAUCAUAAAAUAAUUUUAGUGAAAUAUCUGUAAAUUUAUGUAUUUAUUUAGAUGCGGGGUUUACCAAAUUGUUUUUUUAAAUUCACACACUUGAGUGACGAAAUAUAUAAAUUCGUCACGCAGGGUUUUAAUUUUACGCAGAGACACCAUGUUGGGUCCCAUAAAUUCAAUUUUUAAAUUAUUACACAUUCUUGUGCAACGAAUACCAAAAAAUCGUCGCACGAAGCCUAUUUGUGCGAUGAACUUUCAUGUUCAGUCGCGCAAUUUUUAAUAUUUGGCGCAUUAUUAAAUUUUGUCUUGAAAAAUUUAAAUUUCCACGAAAAUUAAAAAAAAAACACCCGAUGACUGUAGGGUUUGCGCGACAGAUGGCUUUGUCGCAUGGAAAACUAAGCGACGUCUGCACGACAAACCGUUUGUCACUCAAAGGUGUUCGUUUUAAUUAUUUCAGACAACCCUCAUCCUUACCCCUCACAUUCUUCUUUCUCUCGCCUAGUGCACUCCUUCUCUCAGACAUAUCCUCCCUCUCUCCCAGCCACCGUCCUCCUCUCUACCACCCACCCUCCCCCUCUCUUACUUGCUCUCUCCCUUAGGGCUGGGUUCAGUUUAAAACGGUUUGGUUUUUUGCCAAAAUCGAAACCAAACCGAAAUUUCGGUUUAGUUCGGUUCAUUUUUUUUUCCCGUUCAAUUUUGGUUCUAUUUUUUUUAAUUUUUUUUAAUAAAUUUUUAUCUUUUUUUAAUUCACAUAGUAAAAAGAAUAACUCUAAACCUGUAACCAAAUAACCAAACUCCCCUACAUUCCACUCACAUCCGUCCCUCUCUCAUCCCCAACCAUGACACAGAUCUCAAAUCCAACCUAAAUUUCUCCAUUAAUUUGUCUUCUCCAUCGAACCCAAACCUGCCCACUCAUACCCAAACCUCUCGUUAGCCAUGACAGCCCGUCCUGAAUUAUUUUAUCCUCGAUAGCAUGGAAAUUCCUUUUAUACCCUUGGACGUUGAGCACAUUGUGUAGUGGUGUGGUUUGAGUUUGGGUUUGGGUUUUAGUUUUUGGACCUUAAAGUUAAUGGUUUUGUUGUUGUUAGUAACCCAAAGCUAGACCACACACACUCACACACACACACACCCAUACCCUUACCCGUUGACCUUUCUCUCUCCUCUCUCUCUCUCGAUUUUCAACCAUUAUCCGUACAAUUGUAUGGUCAACUUGUCAACCAAUCAAUUCAGGCACAUAUUGAGGUUUUGGAAGCCAUCUUCAUGUUCCUUGUGAGCUGAGGAACACACCUAUACCAUUUUUAGAACGUGAAUCCUUCGAAAACCCGAGAACCCAUAAGUCCCAGAUUUUGAGCACUGUUGAUGUGAUCGUGAUCGUGGAAUUUUUAGUGAGUUUUAAGGUCCUAAGAAGCUUUAGAACUUCUUCACGGAGCUCGGGGAAGAAAGUUGGAGUGUUUUGGAUGUCGGGAAGCUUAGUUUGAAGAGUUUCAAUUUUGGCCGGAUUAUCAAGGUUUCUCCGGCGAGAUUCCGUGGAUUUCAAAGCUUGAAAGUGGUAAGAAUGUGUUCUACUCACUCUAAGCUUCAUUUUGAGACAAAUUUCAUGGAUUUUGGUGCAAAAAUGAAGAAGAUAUAAAGUUAUAAAGUUUUUCCAGAAACCGGUGAUCGCAGCGGCGCCGACGAUGGUCUCCGACGAAACAAGGAAGACAAAGGGGAAUAUUCCAUCAAGUCUGACAGAAUAUUCUAACGGCGUCAGGUAACGCCAUUAAAUUCUGUUAAGGUUUUAACAAAAUAUUUUAAACGACAGUUAAGUUUCCGUCAGGGUUGGCUGUGCGUGGGGGCGCAUCUAGCCGUGCCUUGGUAGGCGCGUGGAUGGUCAGAAAUUUUUUCUAAAAAUAUGGGGAUGUUCCUGAGGUUGAGUAGGUCUUGGUGGUAUAUUCAAAUACCCCAUUUGAGCAAUGUAUGAGAAGUUAUUUCCUAGUUUUGUGUAUGUGUUUUUAAUAACAUUUAUUUAGGAAUUUCGCAUAUAGGUGAGACCUAUCCGGAGGACGAGCGCCAUCAAUCAAGGCUUGGGGGCUACGACCUUUCGACAUAUCAGUGAGUGGGCUUUUGGUUUUCCGUAUAUACCUAUAUACUUGAGAUUUUUCCUAGAAAAUGAAUUUGAAUAAUUAUACGUUUUGAAAUUCCAUGCAAAGUAUCUGCCUAUUUUAUUUAUGCAUUAGUAGUUGCUUAUAUUUAUGAUUGGUGCUGCAGAUGCACAGGUAAGUGCUGGGUAAGUUCAUAAAUUAAAGAUAUGAGAUUGCUUUAGUUAUGCGAGAUAUGAUGUGAUGCAUUGAGAGCUUAUAAACCUGCACCCCGGUGUUAGUGCUACCGUCCAGAGUUAGGGCACAGUCCUUCACGUGAUGUUCACCUCCCGCACCAUAUGCUCACAUUGGAUCCAAGUUAGGUGCACAGGCUUGUCGUACAAACCACUUUAGAUGGUUCCGACUCGUAGUUGACCCACGAUCAUUCGCACAGUCUUCACGUGAUCGUAGCACUAGAGCAUAUUUAUUUUAUACAUAGUCCUGUCACACAGACCACUUUAGGUGGUUCCGACUCAUGUGCAGGAUUUAUAUGAUUGAGAUUGGUUAUGAGCUAUAGAUUUAGCCGUGCCAGUCACGUUGGGUGGAUCCGGCUGAUAUGAUAUCUGGCAUUGAUACAUUUAACUGGAUUACUUAUGGCAUUUCAUUGAGAUACUUUGGCACGGUAUAUUUCUAUGGACUUUCAUCCUGAGCAUGAUUUCUGAUAUAGCAUAUAGUAUUAUUUUUCUGGGAAAUUAUACCGGUGUUACACCGAGGGGUUAGAACUUUUGAGGAAAUGAUUUUGAAAAGCUUUGUUUUUGCCCACUCACACUUUCUGUUUUGUGCCCCUCCAGGUUUUAAGUAGAAGUGCUUUGGUGGCUCACGGAGAUUUUGUCGGUGGUUUUGACAGAACAUCACAAAUGUAAGAUCACCUUUGGGUGUUGUAUAAUUAGUACUUGUCUAGUACUCUAGUUGAUUUGGUUUUUGUUUAUUGCAUUUCCUUAUAUCUCUAUUGCUUCCGCACUGUGCACAUGGCUACGUCACCCUUAUGUGAUGACCAUCAUGCCUCGAUUUAGGUCGUGAUGUGUCACAUUCACUGGCAAAAGGCAAAAACUAGAAACCAUCUCAAACUAGAAGAAGAAAUAAAACAAGAAAACAGAAACAUAUAAGUAAAACAGAGGAAAAAGUCAGACCUAUGUAUCCCGAAUUCCAAGACCGGCAGCCAAAAGAACCAUAAGAUCAAAACCUUUCAUCAAAAAAUUGCGAUACCACUUCCUCUGAAACAUUAAGUUAACUUGCUUAGUUAAAAUAUUUUAAGCAUAAGAAGAAUUAAAAUUAAAUAUAGCUGCAAGCAGGAUAAGCAAAACUCAAGUGUAGCCAAGGUUUUCCCCUCAAGAUAAGAAUGAGAACCAAAUGCAGCAAUGGGGAUAUCAGAUAUCUAAAACUUGAAUUACCUGCAGACAAGUCCCUAAACUUAUUUUGUUUUGAAACUGCCCGAAUCUGGAAUGAAACCUGAAAUAGGAGUGACAGCUACGUUAGAAUUUUACCAACAACUGGAAGCAAAUGUCGGAUGGAAAAAAGAUUAUCAGGAUGCUUCGGUACAAACCAAGAUUCCAAGAGGUGAAAACUGAAAUAGGAGUGACAGCUAUGGUUUGUAAACUUAAGAAAUUUUAUAAAGCAUUAAAGAUUAGAAUACCUAUAAUACCUUACUCGUACAAUUAUAACAACACAAAGCCUACAGUCAAGAUGGCUUGAAGCAACUAUCCUCAACCUGGAGGGAAGGGGUUCUAGAAAUGUUGUAUAAUUAAAAUUACAUUUAGUUCAUGGUUGAGUUAGGAGGACCCGAUAUGGCACAGGCGCCAACAUCAUUAACGUCUUCAAUGGCGCUUCCGCCUAGUGCAUGUCAUACUUACCGGCAUGGCCGGACUCCCGACACGGCAUUUGAUGCCACCCACCCAGGUAAAAUGACAAAAUCCAUUUAAUUUAGCUAAUUCAAAUGUAGUUAUUUGCUACUUUAACAAAAAAAUUGGAGAAGAAAAAUCUAAACAUAGCUAAAUAACUAGUUAAAUAUAUGGGUAAAUUACAAAAAACUAUCUCAACUAUGGGUCGAACGUCAAUCUCAUUCCUCAUGUUUGAAAAUGACAAUGUCAUACCUCAUCUUAUGAAUUUGUUUCAAUGUCAUGCCUCCGUCAGUUUUUCUGCUAAGUUUGAUUGUUAAAUUAUAAGCUGGCAAGCGUGGGACCCACAUUCUUACGCAACUAAAUUAAAAAAUUAAUUAAAUACUAAUAAAUAUAUUUCAACAAAAAAUAAACUAAUAAAUAUAGAAAAUCAUUUAAAAAUUUAUUAAGAAAUUGUGGGAUCCACCUCGAUACCCCACCUUUUCCCAUCCCCUACCUUGACCCUCUUUCUGCUCCAGAACCCUUUCCUUUUUUUCCUUUGCAAUUCUCCCCCGCAGCCCCCAACAACACUCACUCACUCACUCACUCACUCAUUCUCUUCCUCGCUCCCUUUUUAUCUUCUCAACGCAACAAACCAACAUAACAUCAUCAUCACUAAAAUCCUAAAAUCCAAAGCUAAACCAAAAAGUUGCAGGUUGGACUUGAGAAGGAAUUACCAUGGUAUUCACCUCUAACCCUUUAUCUCUCAACGUCCCCGACCCUUUCUUCGAGUCAUGGCUCCGUGAUAACGGCUACCUAGAAAUCAUCAACCAGCAAACCUCCACCGCCAUCACCAUCUCCUUCGCCGCCACCUGACGUGGCCUUGAUCACAAACGACUUCUUCAUCUCACUUUUCUCUAGUAUUUUCACCCUUCUCUCUCUCUUCACCCCUUCUCCAAGCUCACUAAUGAGGACUUUGCCGCCCAGACACCGCUGUGACCACCGCCUUUAUUGGGUCCUUUAAAUCCUACUUUUUCCCUGUUUGUCCCUCUGCCUAUUUGUGCUCUUCUUUGGUUGCUCUUUAUAUGCUCUCUCUUUGUAUGUAUAUGUAUGUAUUUUUCUUGGGUGAGUUUAGAGGAUUGGGUUUGGGGGGAAUUGGGGUUUUCUGUUUGAAAUUGGGGAAUUAGGGUUAAGGUUUGGGUCUUCUUUGCCAUCAGAAACUACCACCCUCAUCACCUUCCAGUUAGACUAACUCAUGAGACUUUGAGCAGGAAAUCGAGAGGUCGAGAGCAGAGCCAAAUCAGUGGGGAUGAUUAUGUUGGACUAACGAUGGUCAGAUCUGUUGUGAAUGGGGAUAGGUGUGGGGUCCACGGUGAAUCAGACGGAGGAGAAAGGUCGGAUAAGGGACUGGGUGAAGAGAAUGUAGGAAGGUGAUGGGUGUGUAGGAGGGGAAGGGGAUCUGGGUGUGGGUUUGGUAUUUUUGGUCUUGUUUUUUUUUGGUGUGGGAUCUGGGUGUGGGCUUGGUUUUUUUGGUUUCUUCAGGGGGUGGUGAAGAUGGAGGAGACGGUGUGGAUGUGAAGGAUGGAGGAAGGUUAGGGGACGAGGCAGGGUUUGGUGGCUGUUAAAGAAAAAAAGAAAAAAGGUUGGUGCGGGUGGAGGAAAGGGAAGGCCGGAUCCCUAGGCCAUUUUUAUUUUUUUUUUUAGUUUUUUUAUAUUUAAUUUAUUUAAUAUUUUAAUAUUUAAUUAUUUUUUUAAUCUAGUGGGAUUAGUGAGUGGACUUCGUCUCUAGCCAUGUCAGCAGUUAACAGAGAAAUUAACAGAAAAACUGACUGAGGUCUGACAUUGGCACAAAUUCGUAAGAUGAGGUAUGACAUUGUCACUUUUAAAAGAUGAGGUAUGAUAGUGUCGUUCGACCCAUAGUUGAGGUAGUUUUUUGUCAUUUACCCUAAAUAUAUUUACAAAACUUGAUUUUUGUCUUAAAAAAGAUGUGUUCAUAAUUUUUCGUCCCUUAAAAAAUUGUUCACAAUGUUGCUUGCCUGUGUGCUUUAUUGUUUAUUACGGUUUGUGACACACCCCGACCUGGGAUGUCCACUGGGACUCUGAAUCGAGUUAUGUUGGCCGACACCAUGAUGGUGACGAAGCCAUAAAGUGUGGUGAUGUGGAAAAUGUGAAUAAAUUUAAACCUAAAAGUGCCUAAAUGGAAAAGUGCCCUUGUGAGCGGAAAUGAAUCCAUUUCACACGUGAUAUCAGAGCAUAAGUAAAGUACAAUAAAGUAGGAUGAGAAUUAUACCAUCAAAGGUAGCCACCUAUACUGAGAUUUGCCAAGAAUCCUCGUCGACAUGAAAGUUCAGUCUGAAACCUGGAAGGGCGAAAAACAAGGGUGAGUGGGCCUAAAAACAAACCUUUGUAAAAACCUUUUUAAAAACAUAAUAAUCACUCGCUGUAAAAUAAGUAUAGUUUACAAAAUAUACAUACUACGUAUAGUAAGAAAUUACUUAUCGUGGCCUGCAAAAUCUCAAGAAUUCAAUACAACACAAAUUUCGUAAGUAAGCACAUGAGGUUUGUUAUCACAUAAUCUCGUACAAGCAAACAUAUCAUAACGAAUGAUCAUAGACACAUGCUGACACAUGAGUUCAUGCAUAGGUAUUCUAACAUGAACAUGAGUGGGUGUAAUAAUGAUUUACACUCUAGUAAUACAAUUACUUGAAGACUGACGCUAUGUGCAGCACAUAUGAGUCUUAAUUCCUUUGCAAUCUAGGAUAUGACUAGCACCUACAAUGGAUCCAAUGUGAGCAUACAGUGCGAUGUGCAUAUACACGUGAAAGACUGGCCCUGGCCCGAGCAAGUACUAACAUCAGUGUAGCAAAUGAUGAGCAUAUAACAUAAAUAUAAUCAUACAAUGAUAAAUCGAUAAUUCACAUCAUUGUAAUACUAUUCAUGGCCAUAAAUAUAAUUAAGGCAUCAAUAAUAAUACGCAUACUUGUGCAUCCCGUAGGAUGUAGCAUAACUUCAUAAUUUCUAUUAAUGUGCUAAAUCUUAUAAACGUCAUGCUAAUCUAGGCGUAUUGUAGAAAACUCUUUAUGAAAUGUAUAAAUGGAAACUAACAAUUAUAUAUAUAUACUAUAAAAAGGAAAAGACCCACUCACAGAUACUGGCAAGGACAUUAGUAAAACUCAAUUAAAACAUUUGAAUUUGGAGAAACAGACUAUGGAUUCAGAAUCAGCGGGUCGAAAUACGCUAAGAAGGGUCCCGGGGAAUUUUCGUAAAAAUUCAAUGAAAAGUCAACGGUCAACCCUAAAAAGUCAACCAAGAUGCCCCGGUGGUCAUCUACAUUAAAACUUUGGAAUUUCACUAAAUGGAUGUCAAAAUGGACUCGGGACGUCGAAAUUAGGCUAGGAGGGUUUCCGAGAAAAUUUCGAAAAGUCAAUAAAAGUCAACUAACGGUCAACAAUUAACUUUAAUAGAAUAUUCCAUUCUCAAAUGGAAUAUCCUAUUAAAGUUAACAGAACAUUCCAAAGGAAAAUUCCUUCCAGAUUUUGAAAUGGGAAUGGGCCGGAAAGGUUUAUGGGCCAAAGGCUUGGAUUAGGUUUUGGGCUUAAGGCCCUUUUUAAAAUUUUUUUUUUUAAGCUGGGUUGGGUUGACCCGUGGGCUCACGGGUUGCACCCGCUGGACCCAGUGAAGGAAGACACCAGAUUUUUGGCUAGAAAACUUCUCCGGCUUCCUUUAGCUUCGAAACUCAACAAAAAUCCACCAUUAAAAAUACCAACAUGAAGCUAGGAAAGUAAGGAUUCAAAUUAUACCAUCUUGCUUCUCAAGCAUGGUUGAAAAAUGGUCUGUAACUUGCAGACUCACCAGAAUUUGGGGAGAAGUCCCCACAUCUUCUUUGUGAAAUUCACCUAUCCAAAACACAUCCCCCACGAUCAAUAAUAACUAUGAGGAUAAAAAGGAAAACAUUUAGAGAGUUCAGAGGCUUACCAAGAACAUAAACUAUGAAAUCUCACCAGAGGGCUACUAAGAUUAUGGAUGUUUCUGUGCAGUGGGCCGACGGUGAAUGAGAGAAAAACAUAAGAGGGAGAGAGGGUGAGACAUAAUGGUGUGGCCUGAGGACUCGUCAGAGUGUUCAUCCUUGUAUGUGGCUGGUGAUGGUGGUUUGCCACAUGGUAUGUCAGUGUUGCAGGUUAAGGAGAUAGCUAAGGGAGAAAGAGAAGUCGAGAGAGGAAAGAUAGUUGAAAGGGUUAAAGGGAAGAAGGGUGAGUUAGCAGCCAAUGAGUGGAGAAAGUAAGGUGAGGGAAAUUUGAAAGAAAAAUGGGAUAGUCUUGAGACAGGGAGACACGGAAAAGAAGGGAAGGAAUGGGGCAUGAGACUCACAUGGUACACAGGCUAAGCCAAAAGACAAAGUCAAAUUAUCUCCCAUAAAUGUGAAAUUACUAAAACACCCUUUAUGAUCGUAGUUCCGUAAAAUCUUCAUCAUAACUCCAAUUUCAAUUUCGCUUGCACCUACGCGUUUGUAUCGUCAAGUGCUUCAGGAGUACAGUAAAGUAAUAGCUUAUACAAGUCACGAACCAAUGGUCAACAAAAGUCAAUAAUCUCGCCUCUAGGGCAUUUUCGUCAAUUCACGCUUUUAAAAUUUAUAAAAACUUAAAAUUAGGGACGGGUUGUCAUAGUUUGCAAGUUAUGGGAAUUGGUAUAAAUGUAGGGGAGGUUAUGUCGAAAUUUUGGUAAAUUUUUAACUUAAUGUUUGACAUUUGUUUUGUUGUUUUGCAGCUAAGAAAAACACCUAGAGACCUUGCCGAUAGCUGAAGAUGAGGUAGGUCACUCAGGUGACUGAUAAGAGCAUAUUUAUCCGCCUUAGUUAGCUAGUUCUUAUGCAUUUUCGUUAUGUUUUCUUAGUUAAAGUAGUCUUUUAAGCUAUUUUCAUGUGUUUUUAGGUUUUAAGGGCAUAUUAUACAAAAUGAUGCAAAUUGGAGCUUUUUGGAGCAAAAUGGAGUUUGGAAUAGAUGUCACAUACUUGGAGCCAAAAGGUUUGGAAGAAAUUGAAGAUUUGAAGAUUUGAGGAUUCCUAGUCACAGUAGGAGUCCUAAUUGAAGAAGGAUUCCUAAUCAAUGAAGGAUUCCUAGUUGAAGAUGGAUUCCUAGAAGAAGGAAGAUUCUUACUCAAACAAGGUUUCCUACUUGAAGUAGGAAAGGUAAACCUAAUUGGCCUUGAGUUUCAGCAACAAAUAAGUUUUCCAAGUCAAAGAAGGAAAAGGUUUCCAAGAAGAAGAAGGAUUGAUCAAGCCAAGCUUUCCUAUUCCUAAUGUGCAAAGGUUUCAGUUACAAAGAGGAGUCCUAAACAUUUUAGGACACCUUAAUCCUUGUUCUAGAAAGAUGUCAAACCAAUUUCAGCAAGGAACCCUCCCAUGCCGUGAAUAACCUUAUCUAGAACCUAUUUUCUUGCCUUGCAAGGCUUUCUAGAAGCCUUAUCCUACCCUAUCCUUAUCUGCUGCACCCUUUUAGCCUAUUCCCUUGUGAAUUCUAAUUUCUAAGCUUUUUUCCUUAUGGAUUUGGGUUAUCCAAGUCCAUAUCUGAUUACCCUAGUGUUUUAGGUGCCUAUAUAUACUCAUAUCUCAACCCUAGCCGAACCACCACCCCCUAUAUUCACAAUUCACAUCAGAAAACUCAUCACAUCCUUUGCCGCAGCCAUCACUCAUCAUCCACCAUAAUUCCUGAACCUCAAACACCUUUGCCACACCUUCCAUUCCCCCUAAACACUACUAUACCAUCUCCUACCCAUUCAUCCAUACAAAUAACCCCUAGAACCUGACCUUAGACCAUGUGCCACAGCAAAGAGGAGGAGGAUAAGCUUGGACGUGCAUGCCAUUCAAUUGUGGAGUGCUAGACGUUUUAGGUGUUGUCUUUCCUUUGAUUUCAAUGUUUAAAUUUAUUUGUCUUUGCUUUGUGCGUAUGAGGAACUAAACCCCCAUUGGCUAGGGGGGAUUCGAAACCAUGUUUAUGCUUGCUAUAUGAUUUGAUUACUUCUAAUUGCGUUUCAUAAGUUGUGAAUUCAAUUUACUUAUCUUUAUGAAUUAAAAUUGAUUUGUGUGUGUUGGUUGAGAGUGCACGCUUAAUUUUCAUGCAUAAGUUUGAUGCUAGGAUAUAAGGAAAUUUCACCUAAUCGUUACGAACUUAUAUUCAAAUGUAGUAAAGGUUGUUGAUCACAAUUGUGUUAAGUAAAUUCUUGGCAUAAGUUUCAUGCAAUUCAUAGUAACAAGUGCCUCGCCAAUGCUUAUGAUUUUCAUAGAACUUAAUGAUCUUUGCUUGUAUCUUUGUUAUGCAAUUCAUGCAGGGAACUUGUGAGGAAUGCUUUGGGUUGUCGUAUGCAAUUCAUCCAAUUCGAUAACUUUAGGAAAAUCUGAGGGUUAAUUAGUGCAAUUCACGGUUAAUUUGGGUCGUUGGGAAUUCAUGGUUUAUUGAGAAGCAAUUGGAAAUCGUUUUGUAUGCAAGUGUGACAUGUGUGGAGAAGAACCCCUUAGCUAGCUUUCCAUCCAUUCACUUUUAUCAAAUUCGUUUUAAAAUCUGUUCAAGUUACAAAGUUUCUGUUUUGUUUUUAAUUUCGUCAAAACCAAAUCCCCCUUAUUUUGUUGAGUCAUCUUAGUUAGAAAUCAAUUUAAUUUGUGUUUUUAAGUGUCUUGAGUCAAGUUAUAACCUAUUUUCGUCCAAAUGUGUGUUUUGUGUUCAAAACUGCCUAGAUUGUGUUUUUAAGGCAGUUUGGAGUGUUUUUGGGCUGUUUUGAGUCUUUUGGUUUGUUUUAGUGUUUUAGAGUUUAGUUUUGCAUUCUUUGAGUCUAGUUUAGUGUUUUAAACUUUGUUUUUACAUUUUUGAGUCAGUUUUCCAGUGAUUUAGCAAUCCCUCCUAAUCCCCCGCCUAGAACGAUCCCUACUUACAUACUUUGCUACAAUUGAUAAAAGAGGGUUUAAUUUGUGUGCUUAUAUAUUUCGCAUCAGUGACAAAUGAUCGUAUCAUGAUAGGAUACGACGAGAGGCAUCGGGCUACACCUACAACGGCGUAACAUAGUGCAUUGGACCACGACGUGGGACAUGUUGUUAGGACUGAGUGCCCUAUGUUAUGGAAAUCGUGGCGUAAGAUCCUAGCGAAGACGAAGAACCUGGUUCGCAACUGUUAAUUGAUAAGUUCCUAACUUUGGUUUAUUCAAUUAUAUGUCAAGUUUAUAUUUUUUAUAUUACUCUUUUUCCUUUUUCAACUUUGACUUCAAUUUUAAUUUUGGUUUUUUUUAUAUUUUAAUUUAAUACUUGGUAAAUUGUAGACAAACUACAAUUUUGACAACAUAAACGAGUCGAUUGACAACUACCUGGACAAGUUGUUUACGAGUGGUACAAGUAGUGGAAGAGCGACCUCCACAAACAUUAUGAGUUGUUUGAUGAUCCAGAGGUCACUUUAGAGGAGGGUUGCCCGCUGGAGUUGGAGGAUCGGCCGGACUAGUGGGCGUCGCUCUACAGCCAUUUUCAAGAGCCCGCCUAUGUGGUACAUUUUUCUAUAUGGAACUUUAAUGAAAAGCUCCCAGUACUGUUCACUUUAAUGAAAAACCAUAUUUUUACAAUAAAAAGUCAAUCAUGGUACUAUUCAUUUUACCCUUUAUUUUGUCCUUAUUGUCACAGCCCGUUCCAAAUUAUUAUAUUCGUGGCUGUGAAUGAACGAAAUUGCCCUUAAGAAAUACUAAAUUUGUGAAGCUCAGGUUGCUAAUUAUCUAGGUUCCUAAGUUUGAAAAUAAAAUGGAAUUUAAUAAGGAUGGAACUUAGAUUUUUAGGUUAAAAUGUUAAAGUUUGGUGUUUGGAGAUUGGAAUAAGGACCACGUGGGAUCCCCACAUCCCUCAAAACCCUCCUCAUUUCCCGUUCACUGUCUUUCUCUCUCCUCCUUCACGAUUUCUCACUCUCUCUGUCUCUCUCCUUCGAACUCACACGGACCACCACCAAAACCACCCUAAAUCUAUACCAACGUCAAGUUUGAGACCACCAUUGGAAUCCUGAGGACUUCACGAUCACGUUGGUAUCCAUUUCAGGUAAGUUUUUACUUCGGAAAACCUAGAUUCUAAACUCCCCAUGAAAGUGUACUGUUCAUGAGCUUUGAAUUGGUUGAUUUUUAGGACAAUCCAAGCUCAUAGUGAGCUUAGUGAGGUCCCAAGGAAGCUCGGAGUGCUUCGUUGGAAGUUUUUGGACGUAAGAACACGGAGAUCGACAAGUUCAAAAUUUGGCCGGAGCUUUCGAGGCGUUUUCCGGCGAAUCCCCGGCGAUUUAGGAGUCGAAGUAGGUAUCAAUCUCUUCGUCUCGUCAAGUACUACAAUUUUCCUUUUUGUUUCACUCAAUUUCGUUGAGUAUUGAAGAAGUUAUACUCAUUUGAAAAAUACCCAGUUUCCGGCGACCUCCGAGGCUUUCGAGACAGUUUCCGGCCAAACCACGGCGAACUAGGUGUUGUGCAAGGUACCAUUAUCUUUGUCUCUUCAAGGGCUACAACUUUCGUUUUUGAAUCACUUGAUUUCGUUGAGAAAUGACAAAGUUAUGGCAAUUUGAAAAACUGUUCAGAAAACGGCCGCCGGAAAAACCAGUCCGGCGACCCAAGGAAGAAGAAGGUGCUACAGUAAAAAUAAAAAAUAAAAAUAAAAUUAUUUUAAAAAAUAUGUCGACGUCCGUGACGUCGAGUAGAUCACUGUGGUAUAUUCAUAUACCUAAAUUGAACACCGUAUGAGAAAGUUAUUGAAGAUUGUUGGUUAGGUGUUCAAAUAACGUUUUAUAGUUUUCACAUUUAGGUGAAAAUGUGAAUUGAUGAUCCGACCGUUGGAUCAUCACCAAACUUUGAUACGUUAUAGUACGUAAUAUUUGAGGAUUAUUGGAACUUACGGAUUGGGAAUCCGAGUUACGGAUCUUCCGGAAUUGGAAUUGUAAGUCCAUAAUAUAAAAUGUUAACCGUCACUUAGUUUUGGAAAUUGACGGAGAUCCGACCGUUGGAUGGUAAUGAAAUUUUAGGAUGUUGUCCUAGAGGUAUAAUGUGGACCUCUGGAAGUUAUGGAUUUAAAAUCUGAGUGGCAGAUCUUCCGGAUCGAUCAACGUAGUGACGUAUUUUAUAUAAGUUAUGUAUUCUAUCGAUAUGAAUUCUGAGCCUGGAUUUGAUUACUAUUCUAGGCGGCGAUCGUCAUGACGCCUUGAUGUGUGGUGCUAGGGAGUUGUUGGACGAACUCCAGGUGAGUGGGCAGUUUUGUUUUCCGUAUAUAUAUAUACUUGACGUUUCCCAGAAAUUGAAUUGAAAUGAAAAUAUGUUUAAAAUGAAAUGCAUAUGAGUUAUGUGGAAAAACGGGAAGUGAAAUACCAUGCAUAGAAUUGAUAUGAAAAGUAUAUAGAAAUGUGAGUUGAAAUGCCAUGCAUGAAUUAAUAUAUGAUGCAUAUGUAUGAAUUGGUGCGGUGGACGCACAGGUAAGAAUUGAUUUAUGAUGCAUAUGUAUGAAUUGGUGCGGUGGACGCACAUGUAAGAAUUGAUUUAUGAUGCAUAUGUAUGAAAUGGUGCGGUGGACGCACAGAUGAGUAUUUAAUUACUGUUAUGAUGAUGAUGAUAUAUAUUGAGCUCAAAUCCUGCACCAUGGUUUAGUGCUUAUAGUAUUCACCGCAUCGCACGCUCGCCUUGGAUCCAAGUAGAUGCUAGUCGUACAGUCCACGCGGAGUGGGUACGACAGACCAGUCGCGAGAGUGUUAGUGAGAUUCCGACUGGUGGGUGACCUUAGAUUAUGUGCACAGAUGAUUUAUGAGAAGCACUAGAGCGUAACUUGCGUGCAGAAGGCCGGACGGGUCACAGAGGUGACUCCGGUAGAGUGAUAAUGAUAGAUUUUGAGCUCUAGGUUCAACCGUAUAGGGCUAUUAGAGGGCCUACGGUUGAUUACUUUCUUGCACCUGAUAUGAUUAUGUUGAUGCAUUCAUACCUUAUUACUGUUGAGAUGAUGUGGCAUGGCAUAAUUAAUAUGAGAAAUGUUGAGAUGACAUGGCAUGGCAUGAUUGAUAAAGAGAUAAUGUUGAGAUAGUAAAAAUGAAGUUUUGAGAAUAUAUAUGUAUAUUUAUAUUUUACAUUUCUGGGAAAGUAUACAGGUUUUACGGAGAGGGGUUACAACGUUUUGAGAAAUGUUUGGAUUUGGAAAAGAAUUGUUUUACUGACCCACUCAAUUUUGGUUUUGCGCCCCUCCAGGUUCAGGAAUCACAAAGGUGUGGUGACUACGAGGAAUUCGACGGUGUUCUGACAGAUUGGACAAAAUUAGGACUCACCUUCGGGUGUAUCAACUUAUAAAUUGUAUAAUUAAAGCUUCCGUACUGUGCAAAUGGUUACGUCACUCUCACGUGACGGCCAGCAUGCCCUCCUUCGGGACGGGGUGUGUCAGUUGGUAUCAGAGCAUGGUUGCAAUCUUGGACAUUUUGAGAAGUUCUAGUGAAUUCUGUCAGAACUACACCGCCUCGUAGCAAACCACGUAGUUAGAGGAACUUAGUCUCCCCGAUUUAGCGGGUUGGGGGAAACUAUUAUUAUGGUGAUUCGGUAUAUUAUCAAAAUGGACAUUUUAAGACGGGUUAUGAGUUGAAUUUGAAUCACCUUAUGAAAUGAUGAACCUGAGGGAGCGAAGUAACGGUUUAACCAUUUGGAAAAGAUGUUUCAGGUUAUGCAAGUCAAAGGAAAUUUCCUUCUGACAGGUGGGUCGAGACGACUACCUGGUUUUGGGUAUGAAUUUGCAUCCUGGUGGAAACAGGAAUGUUAAUUGUUGUCACCAGAGGAAUCAGCCGAUUUAAAAUUUUUUAAGGAAAAGUUUAUCCCUCCGGCAUUUAUCGAUGGUAGUAAACAAGAGUUUACAAAUAUGAGACAAGGAAGGUGAUGAUCGAGGGAUAUUAUAGAAAGUUUUCAGACUUGCCUCGUUCCAUCCAGAUAUUGUUGUUAAUUUGGUGGAGGUGUUAUGUUGUUUUAAGCUGGGUGGCAAAAAGGGAAGUGGUAUUUUGGGUGACCACUAUCCAUUGUACUUCUUACCAGGAGUAUACAAGAUGUUGUUGAGCCUUGAGGACUCUGAGAACAUGAGCAACGAGAAUAAAGAAGAAUAAGAAAAGAAUGGGAAUUAAAAGAAGACGAUAAAGUUAAUGAUUCGUCAUAUCAAGGAUAUAGAAAGAUUCAGAGCUUCGAAAGAAGUGAAGCUAGAGUUAAUUUUUCCAGCUGAGGUUUUAAUGUCGCUGGUCAGAAUAAAAGUGAUGGAUAUACUGGUAAUCCCCGAUAUUUGAGACAAGGUGUCUCGAGUAAAGGAAAUGUACUUUGUGCAGCAUGUACAAAAUUAACACUUUGGGAAAUGUGAAAUUAAUGAAUGUGUUUAUGUGAACAGAAGGGACACAGAGUUGUGAAUCGUCCCUAGAAUCAGUUGUACUCAACAAUUUUCCAUGAAAUCAUAGUGUCGAUUCAGCAGAGUUAUGGAUUUAGUAGUUUGGUCGGAUUGACCGUGAGUACAGAGAUAUUUGAUGAGUUAUAUGUUCAGCCGUACGGACCAUGAGAAAUGGAUUUGACUGACACAUGAGAAAUUGGUGAGUUAUAGGCUCGGCCGUACCGACCACGCGGAGUGGAUCCGGCCGACGUAUUAUUGAGAUAAGAGUUGAAUCAGUCGUAUUGAUCAUUCUAGUUGACUUCGGCUGAUAUAUUUCUUAUUAUGUAUGUUAUUACCUUGAGAGUAGUAAAUAAAUGUAGUUGAGAUGAAUGUAUGUAUUUUGCAUUGAGUGACAAAAUAGUAAUGUUAUAUCUUUGAGAGUGGUUGCCUACUUAUCGAGACAACGAUGAUUUAUCAGUAUUGCGGGCUGCAGACCGUAAUAUUAAUAACUCAUUCGUGGAUUCGUUAAGCAAGCAAACCGGUAGAUUAUUUUAUGUUAGUAUUGUACUUAUUUGGAAUGCUUAAUAAUAAUAGAAUAUAUAUUGUAUCAGUUAAUUCUGUUUCCAUUAGAUUGGUUGGUUAUAAUUGUGACAAGACGAAAUGUUAUGGGAAACCAGUACUUUCCAUCGAUCUGGAUGAACAGAGAUUACUUUUGUAAGUAUGCAAAAUGGAUUGAGUCAGGCUGUUAUUUAUGCUGUGAGAGCAAAGAGAUUGUUUUCGAAAGGCUGUCAAAAAUACUUAGCUCAUGUGGUGCUAAAUGAUGUUGUUUGGAGUAGUGUGAAUAAUGUCGAAAGAGUUAGACUUUUCUUGAUGUCUUCCUUGAAAGUAUACCUGGAUUGCCUUCAGGCAGAGAUAUGAGGUUCAUUAUUGAUUUGUUGCCAGGUAUAAAUUUAUAUUGGAGAUUGGUUCAGGAUGAGUUAAGGGAAUUGGAAAUUCAGUUGAGAGAAUUGGUUGAUAAAAGUUUUAUUCAACCUAGUACAACACUUUUGAGGAGCCCAGUUUGUUGGUGAGGAAGAAAAAUGGAUCUUGAGACUGUUCAUUGAUUAUAGACAAUGGAGUCGGGUAACGAUUGAGAACCGUUAUCCAUGGUGAUGUACUGAUGUUUAUUUAACCAGCUCAGAAGUAAUUGCGAAGAUUCAAAGAUUGAAUUGAGAUCUGGUUACUACCAAUUGAAUAUUAUAAGUGACGUUGAUCAUAAGAUGGUUUUCUGGACUUGUUAUAGUUUUUAUGAAGUUUGGUGAUGCUAUAUGGAUACUCAUGCUGUUUUAUGAGUUAUUGGAUGAAGUAUUCCAAUAAUGCCUUGAUAAAUAGAUAUCAUUUUCAUUGAAGAUAUUCUGGUAUACUCUAAGCCUAGAGCAGAGCAUGUAAACGUAUUAAGUCAAUGAAGCAAAGAUUGAGAGAACGUUAGUUGUAUGCUAAGUUUAGCAAAAGCUAAAGUUAAAUGGAUCAAGUGGCAUUCUAAAAUUUGUUAUGUCUGCUUAAGGUAUUCAAGUGAAUCCUUAAAGGAUAGCAGAAAUUGAGAAUUUGGAACAACCACGAGUCGUAAUUGAGAUUUGGAAUUUCUUAGCUUACCAGGCUAUUUUGGAUGGUUGUGAAAGAAUUUUUAGUCAUUGCGUUGUCAUUAACGAGACUGAUGAGAAAAGAGGUUAUGUAUGAGUGGGAAGGAAUUGUAAGCAAAGGAUUCAACAACUGAAGUAUUUCCUCACUCAUGCACGUAUUUUAAUAUUCCCAGAAGAUAGCGAUAAUUAUCGGUAUAUGGUGAUGUUACAUUAAAUGUUCUUGGAUAUGUACUAAUGCAAAUGUUAGGGUGAUUGCAUACGUUUCACGACAAAUGGAAUCUCAUGAGAUGAAUUACCCUACUAGUGAUUUGGAAGUCACGAUUACCAUCCUUGCUGUGAAGUUAUGGAGACAUUAUAUUUUAGUGAGAAUGCAAGAUUUUACAAAUCAAAAGAGUCUUCAAUAUCCAUUACUUGGAAGGAUUUUGAUAUGAGGCAGCGAAAGUGAAUUGUAUUGCUUAAUGAACAUGAUUGUACGAUCAGGUGAUCGUAAAGUUUGUUCUAGCUGAAGCACUUGAUAAGAAGACUGCAGUAAGAAUUAAUAUCUAGUACGCUUGCCAAGAUUAUCUUCUUGUGGAUUGGAAAUCAACUAAAGUAAAGUUAAGAAUGGAAGAUCGAGAAGAAGUUAUACUUGUUAAGUAACAAGUUAGUACAUUUACUCCAGUGUUGAGUAACAACCUUUCCCAGACAGUGCAACAUUACUUAUUUGUUUUAUGGAAAAGAGAAUUGGUUUAAGGAACUGCUGAGUUUCUUAAGUAUGUUGGUUGUGCAGUUUCCGAAGUAACGCCAUAAGGAUCAUGAAAUGUGUCAUGUGAGUCGGUUUUUGAUGACUUGUGAAUGGAAUGUUUCUGGGUAGAGAAGGAUUCGAUCAAGAAAGAGUUUUAGUAGACCCUGAGACUAUGGAUGAGUUUCCUCAAAGUAUUCAGGUGAUUAAGUUAACCUGAAGUAACCAGGAAUGGCAAAAGACAUCAACAGAUGGAUAUGCCACUAAUCGAGUAUAUAAGGUAAAUGGUUAUAUUUUAGAAGUGUUCACCUUAGAAAAGUAGAAUUUGGAUUGGAAAAAGAAGGUCCUGAGAGUUAAGAUAGAGUAAAUGGUAAAAGUUUUGUGAAGGAAUCAUUCAGUGGAAGAAAAUUACGUGGGAGAAAAAGAAUCGGAUGAAAGAAACUUACCGAGGUUGGUAUAAGUGUUGAUGAAUUGGUUGGUUGCUGGAAUUUCGGGGACGAAAUUCUAUAAGGAGGGAAGAUUGUCACAGCCCGUUCCAAAUUAUUAUAUUCGUGGCUGUGAAUGAACGAAAUUGCCCUUAAGAAAUACUAAAUUUGUGAAGCUCAGGUUGCUAAUUAUCUAGGUUCCUAAGUUUGAAAAUAAAAUGGAAUUUAAUAAGGAUGGAACUUAGAUUUUUAGGUUAAAAUGUUAAAGUUUGGUGUUUGGAGAUUGGAAUAAGGACCACGUGGGAUCCCCACAUCCCUCAAAACCCUCCUCAUUUCCCGUUCACUGUCUUUCUCUCUCCUCCUUCACGAUUUCUCACUCUCUCUGUCUCUCUCCUUCGAACUCACACGGACCACCACC